GCCCUCAUAGCUCAGGUGGUAGAGCGUGCCCUUGGUAAGGGCAAGGUCAUGGGUUCGAAUCCCAUUGGGGGCU
Molecule: transfer RNA, 73 nt
Filed under: Anaerolinea thermophila UNI-1
Lineage: Bacteria; Bacillati; Chloroflexota; Anaerolineae; Anaerolineales; Anaerolineaceae
Also listed under: 2 other names
Description: tRNA-Thr (GGT) (tRNA-Thr-GGT-1-1)
Rfam family: tRNA
About the family: Transfer RNA (tRNA) molecules are approximately 80 nucleotides in length.
Source: Rfam by way of RNAcentral